UCUUUCUCAUUUUCGCCUUCUCCUCCGCCAUACUAUGAGCCUGUGACACUGAGAUGCUGUGACGAUGUGACGCCCAGAAGCCUUGACGGUGAGGACUGCUCUCUCUCUCUCUUCACUUCACCUGCACGGCUGCACAGCUCCUCAGCUCCUUCUUUCUCCCUCACAGAUCUUUCUGCCAUGUCCGCCAACGCCAAGAGCUCUCUCUCUCUCUUCACUUCACUUUACUUGCAACCUAAUCAGUCUUAGCCUUCAAUUCAUCAAUUGUUCCCAAACUCGAUCUGAACCUUCAAUUAGCAUACUCAAUCUGAACCUUCAGUUAGCAUACUCGAUCUGAACCUUCAGUUCCCAAACUCGAUUUGAACCUUCAAUCUCAGCCUUCAGGUUCCAAUGGACGAAUGACCACUAUGGGUGUAUAUGUGCGUGAUUUGCUACUUGGGCAGGCUUGCAGCAUGGUUAUUGUUCCAUCGCCGACAACUCUAGUUGAACCAGACCCGACAAUUGAUCGAUGGUAGCUGUUGAAUUGCUGGAUAGAGAAUUGAAAAAAGGGAUGCUAAAUUGUUGUAUUUGAAUUAGGACUUUCUAUUUCAAUUGCAUAUUUGUAUUUCAAACUUGGACUUCAUAUUUAAAUUGGGACAUUGUAUUUAAAACUUUCAAUUGCAGGUAUUGUGAUUGACUUGUAUUUGAAUUUGAAUUUUAUGCAUUUUGGAUA
This 709-nucleotide long non-coding RNA is filed under the name Rosa chinensis. Its description in RNAcentral is "sRNA RchiOBHm_Chr5g0013051". The record is from RNAcentral. Lineage: Eukaryota; Viridiplantae; Streptophyta; Magnoliopsida; Rosales; Rosaceae.